RNAcentral lists this ribosomal RNA (887 nucleotides) under Pseudocercospora macadamiae. RNAcentral describes it as "eukaryotic LSU rRNA". The stretch from base 1 to 518 matches the Rfam family "Eukaryotic large subunit ribosomal RNA", at positions 118 to 664 of the family's 3401-position model. The record is from RNAcentral. Lineage: Eukaryota; Fungi; Ascomycota; Dothideomycetes; Mycosphaerellales; Mycosphaerellaceae.
AAAUCUGGCGCAAGCCCGAGUUGUAAUUUGUAGAGGAUGCUUCUGGGUAGCGGCCGGUCUAAGUUCCUUGGAACAGGACGUCAUAGAGGGUGAGAAUCCCGUAUGUGACUGGAUUGCACUCUCCACGGAGCUCCUUCGACGAGUCGAGUUGUUUGGGAGUGCAGCUCUAAAUGGGAGGAAAAUUUCUUCUAAAGCUAAAUACCGGCCAGAGACCGAUAGCGCACAAGUAGAGUGAUCGAAAGAUGAAAAGCACUUUGGAAAGAGAGUUAAAAAGCACGUGAAAAUGUUGAAAGGGAAGCGCCCGCAAUCAGACUUUGCGGCAGGGUUCGGCCGGUCUUCUGACCGGGUUUCUCGCUGUCCGGAGUACCUCAUCGUCUGGGACCGCUGGAUAAAACCUUAAGGAAAUGUCUCCCCCUCGGGGAGUUUUUAAACCUCUGGUGAUGCCUUUCCGCCCCUGGCAAGGACUUUUGAUUGGGAAUGUAUACUGCCGUAAUGCUGGGCGGGCGCCCCCCUCAGGGACCCUUGGCCUCAGCCGUAUAAAAUCAUUUCGAACCGUCUUUGUGCCUAACCACCUCCCAUGUAAUGAAGUUGACUCCAGGUGGGGACCUUUUUGGUCGCCCAUAGGGGGACACCCUAAAGGUCCUCACGAUCCGAUUCACGGUCAAGAACAGCUUUUGUUGUAACCCGACAAGAUCGGGACAAUUGUGUCUGGAGUCGGCGUGAGAGCCGGGUAAAACCGUCUGGUGCAGGCUCACACCGUUUUCCGAGCCAUUGCGAUCGGGCAAAUUUGCGUAUAGGGGCGCGAAUGGAAUAAUCGAGCAUUAGUACCUUGCUGGGCAAGAUUUCCCUCAGGUAUAGACACUAAGGGUUUUCAGACGUAUAUGAGG